GCAGUCGAGGGGCAGCAUAAUGGAUAGCAAUAUCUAUGGUGGCGACCGCCGUACGGGUGCGUAACGCGUAUGCAACCUACCUUUAACAGGGGGAUAACACUGAGAAAUUGGUACUAAUACCCCAUAAUAUCAUAGAAGGCAUCUUUUAUGGUUGAAAAUUCCGAUGGUUAGAGAUGGGCAUGCGUUGUAUUAGCUAGUUGGUGGGGUAACGGCUCACCAAGGCGACGAUACAUAGGGGGACUGAGAGGUUAACCCCCCACACUGGUACUGAGACACGGACCAGACUCCUACGGGAGGCAGCAGUGAGGAAUAUUGGUCAAUGGACGCAAGUCUGAACCAGCCAUGCCGCGUGCAGGAUGACGGCUCUAUGAGUUGUAAACUGCUUUUGUACGAGGGUAAACGCAGAUACGUGUAUCUGUCUGAAAGUAUCGUACGAAUAAGGAUCGGCUAACUCCGUGCCAGCAGCCGCGGUAAUACGGAGGAUUCAAGCGUUAUCCGGAUUUAUUGGGUUUAAAGGGUGCGUAGGCGGUUUGAUAAGUUAGAGGUGAAAUUUCGGGGCUCAACCCUGAACGUGCCUCUAAUACUGUUGAGCUAGAGAGUAGUUGCGGUAGGCGGAAUGUAUGGUGUAGCGGUGAAAUGCUUAGAGAUCAUACAGAACACCGAUUGCGAAGGCAGCUUACCAAACUAUAUCUGACGUUGAGGCACGAAAGCGUGGGGAGCAAACAGGAUUAGAUACCCUGGUAGUCCACGCAGUAAACGAUGAUAACUCGUUGUCGGCGAUACACAGUCGGUGACUAAGCGAAAGCGAUAAGUUAUCCACCUGGGGAGUACGUUCGCAAGAAUGAAACUCAAAGGAAUUGACGGGGGCCCGCA
RNAcentral lists this ribosomal RNA (873 nucleotides) under uncultured bacterium. RNAcentral describes it as "bacterial SSU rRNA". It matches the Rfam family "Bacterial small subunit ribosomal RNA", at positions 57 to 925 of the family's 1533-position model. The record is from RNAcentral.